This 582-nucleotide ribosomal RNA is filed under the name uncultured Acidobacteriota bacterium. Its description in RNAcentral is "uncultured Acidobacteria bacterium partial 16S ribosomal RNA". The record is from RNAcentral. Lineage: Bacteria; Pseudomonadati; Acidobacteriota.
ACGCGUUGGGAGCUCUCCCAUAUGGUCGACCUGCAGGCGGCCGCGAAUUCACUAGUGAUUCGUAUACCGCGGCUGCUGGCAAGAGUUAGCCGGGGCUUCUUCUUCCGGACCGUCAUUAUCUUCCCGAUCGAAAGGAGUUUACAUCCCAAAGGACUUCAUCCUCCACGCGGCAUUGCUGCGUCAGGGUUUCCCCCAUUGCGCAAAAUUCCCCACUGCUGCCUCCCGUAGGAGUCUGGACCGUGUUUCAGUUCCAGUGUGGCCGUGCGCCCUCUCAGGCCGGCUACCCGUCGUCGCCUUGGUGGGCCGUUACCUCACCAACAAGCUGAUAGGCCGCGGGCCCAUCCCUGACCGAAAAACUUUCCACGCGAGGAGAUGCCAUCUCGCGUAAUAUCCGGUAUUAGCCCCGGUUUCCCGGAGUUAUCCCAGUGUCAGGGGCAGGUUGCCCACGUGUUACUCACCCGUUCGCCACUGAUCAGGAUGAGCAGCUCUCCGUCACCGUUCGACUUGAUGUGUUAAGCACGCCGCAGCGUUCGUCCUGAGUCAUGAUCAAACUCUAAUCGAAUUCCCGCGGCCGCCAUGGCG